CUAUGGGUAGCUUAUGUUUGAAAGCUUCGGGUUCUUACUCCGGUGAUGUCUUUGGACUCUGUAGG
RNAcentral lists this transfer RNA (65 nucleotides) under Amphimerus sp. JM-2019. RNAcentral's name for it is "tRNA-Lys". The record is from RNAcentral. Lineage: Eukaryota; Metazoa; Platyhelminthes; Trematoda; Opisthorchiida; Opisthorchiidae.